UGGAGAAGGAGUUUCAGUGCAAGAGAGAGG
RNAcentral lists this non-coding RNA (30 nucleotides) under Mus musculus (house mouse). Lineage: Eukaryota; Metazoa; Chordata; Mammalia; Rodentia; Muridae. The record is from RNAcentral.